AGUGAACGCUGGCGGUAGGCCUAACACAUGCAAGUCGAACGGCAGCACAGUAAGAGCUUGCUCUUACGGGUGGCGAGUGGCGGACGGGUGAGGAAUACAUCGGAAUCUACUUUUUCGUGGGGGAUAACGUAGGGAAACUUACGCUAAUACCGCAUACGACCUACGGGUGAAAGCAGUGGAUCUUCGGACCUUGCGCGAUUGAAUGAGCCGAUGUCGGAUUAGCUAGUUGGCGGGGUAAAGGCCCACCAAGGCGACGAUCCGUAGCUGGUCUGAGAGGAUGAUCCGCCACACUGGAACUGAGACACGGUCCAGACUCCUACGGGAGGCAGCAGUGGGGAAUAUUGGACAAUGGGCGCAAGCCUGAUCCAGCCAUACCGCGUGGGUGAAGAAGGCCUUCGGGUUGUAAAGCCCUUUUGUUGGGAAAGAAAAGCAGCAGGUUAAUACCCCGCUGUUCUGACGGUACCCAAAGAAUAAGCACCGGCUAACUUCGUG
Molecule: ribosomal RNA, 492 nt
Filed under: uncultured bacterium
Lineage: Bacteria
Description: partial 16S ribosomal RNA
Rfam family: Bacterial small subunit ribosomal RNA
Source: RNAcentral